RNAcentral lists this microRNA (19 nucleotides) under Gallus gallus (chicken). RNAcentral's name for it is "microRNA Ros-gga". The record is from RNAcentral. Lineage: Eukaryota; Metazoa; Chordata; Aves; Galliformes; Phasianidae.
CAGGGUGCAGCUGGAGGGC